UACGUAGGAGGCAAGCGUUGUCCGGAAUUACUGGGUGUAAAGCGCGUGUAGGCGGCAGGCCAAGUCUGUGGUGAAAUCGCUCGGCUCAACUGGGCGGGGUCCAUGGAAACUGGUCAGCUGGAGGACGGUAGAGGUGAGUGGAAUUCCCGGUGUAGUGGUGAAAUGCGUAGAUAUCGUAAGGAAGACCAGUGGCGAAGGCGGGUCUCUGGACAGUUCCUGACGCUGAGGCACGAAGGCCAGGGGAGCAAACGGG
Molecule: ribosomal RNA, 253 nt
Filed under: uncultured bacterium
Lineage: Bacteria
Description: partial 16S ribosomal RNA
Rfam family: Bacterial small subunit ribosomal RNA
Source: RNAcentral